GAUGAACGCUGGCGGCGUGCCUAAUACAUGCAAGUCGAGCGAACAGACGAGGAGCUUGCUCCUCUGACGUUAGCGGCGGACGGGUGAGUAACACGUGGAUAACCUACCUAUAAGACUGGGAUAACUUCGGGAAACCGGAGCUAAUACCGGAUAACAUGUUGAACCGCAUGGUUCAACAGUGAAAGACGGUCUUGCUGUCACUUAUAGAUGGAUCCGCGCCGCAUUAGCUAGUUGGUAAGGUAACGGCUUACCAAGGCAACGAUGCGUAGCCGACCUGAGAGGGUGAUCGGCCACACUGGAACUGAGACACGGUCCUGACUCCUACGGGAGGCAGCAGUAGGGAAUCUUCCGCAAUGGGCGAAAGCCUGACGGAGCAACGCCGCGUGAGUGAAGAAGGUCUUCGGAUCGUAAAACUCUGUUAUUAGGGAAGAACAAAUGUGUAAGUAACUAUGCACGUCUUGACGGUACCUAAUCAGAAAGCCACGGCUAACUACGUG
RNAcentral lists this ribosomal RNA (497 nucleotides) under uncultured bacterium. Its description in RNAcentral is "partial 16S ribosomal RNA". It matches the Rfam family "Bacterial small subunit ribosomal RNA", at positions 28 to 507 of the family's 1533-position model. The record is from RNAcentral.